AUUGAACGCUGGCGGCAUGCUUUACACAUGCAAGUCGAACGGCAGCGCGGGCUUCGGCCUGGCGGCGAGUGGCGAACGGGUGAGUAAUACAUCGGAACGUGCCCAGUAGUGGGGGAUAGCUCGGCGAAAGCCGGAUUAAUACCGCAUACGACCUGAGGGUGAAAGGGGGGGAUCUUCGGACCUCGCGCUAUUGGAGCGGCCGAUGGCAGAUUAGCUAGUUGGUGGGGUAAAGGCCUACCAAGGCGACGAUCUGUAGCUGGUCUGAGAGGACGACCAGCCACACUGGGACUGAGACACGGCCCAUACUCCUACGGGAGGCAGCAGUGGGGAAUUUUGGACAAUGGGCGAAAGCCUGAUCCAGCAAUGCCGCGUGUGUGAUGAAGGCCUUCGGGUUGUAAAGCACUUUUGGCGGGAACGAAAAGGACUGUGCCAAUACCACGGUUCGAUGACGGUACCCGCAGAAUAAGCACCGGCUAACUACGUG
Molecule: ribosomal RNA, 484 nt
Filed under: uncultured bacterium
Lineage: Bacteria
Description: partial 16S ribosomal RNA
Rfam family: Bacterial small subunit ribosomal RNA
Source: RNAcentral